RNAcentral lists this ribosomal RNA (956 nucleotides) under uncultured bacterium. RNAcentral's name for it is "bacterial SSU rRNA". It matches the Rfam family "Bacterial small subunit ribosomal RNA", at positions 8 to 942 of the family's 1533-position model. The record is from RNAcentral.
AGAGUUUGAUCCUGGCUCAGAGCGAACGCUGGCGGCGUACUUAACACAUGCAAGUCGAACGGGGAUCGUCAGUGUAGCAAUACAUCGGCGGUUCUAGUGGCGCACGGGUGAGUAACACGUGGGUAACCUGUCCUUGAGUCCGGGAUACCCUUUCGAAAGGAAGGCUAAUACCGGGUACGUUCCUCGGGUUGCGAAAUCUGGGGAGGAAAGGUGGCGAAAGCUACCGCUCUUGGAGGGGCUCGCGGCCUAUCAGCUAGUUGGUGAGGUAACGGCUCACCAAGGCGAUGACGGGUAGCUGGUCUGAGAGGACGACCAGCCACACGGGAACUGAGACACGGUCCCGACUCCUACGGGAGGCAGCAGUGGGGAAUUUUCCGCAAUGGGCGAAAGCCUGACGGAGUGACGCCGCGUGGGGGACGAAGGCCUUCGGGUCGUAAACCCCUGUCAGAGGGAAAGAAGGGUCGCUUGGCUAAUAUCCAAGUGAUCUGACGGUACCUUCAGAGGAAGCCCCGGCCAACUCUGUGCCAGCAGCCGCGGUAAGACAGAGGGGGCAAGCGUUGCUCGGAAUCACUGGGCGUAAAGGGCGCGUAGGCGGGAUGGCAAGUCGGUCGUGAAAUCUCUCGGCUCAACCGAGAAACGUCGGCCGAUACUGCCGUUCUUGAGGGAUGCAGAGGAGACUGGAAUUCCCGGUGUAGCGGUGAAAUGUGUAGAGAUCGGGAGGAACACCGGUGGCGAAGCGGGUCUCUGGGCAUUUCCUGACGCUGAGGCGCGAAAGCGUGGGGAGCAAACGGGAUUAGAUACCCCGGUAGUCCACGCUGUAAACGAUGACGACUAGUGGUGGGGUGGUUCAGUCCAUUCCGUGCCGCAGCUAACGCAUUAAGUCGUCCGCCUGGGGAGUACGGCCGCAGUUGAAACUCAAAUGAAUUGACGGGGCCCGCACAAGCGGUGGAGCAUGU